UACGUAGGGAGCGAGCGUUAUCCGGAAUUAUUGGGCGUAAAGGGUGCGUAGAUGGCAAUGUAAGUCUUGUGUAAAAUUGUUGGGCUCAACCCAAUAGGGCACAAGAUACUGCAUAGCUCGAGUAUUGGAGAGGCAAGUGGAACUCCAUGUGUAGCGGUAAAAUGCGUAAAUAUAUGGAAGAACACCAGUGGCGAAGGCGGCUUGCUAGCCAGAUACUGACAUUGAGGCACGAAAGCGUGGGGAGC
RNAcentral lists this ribosomal RNA (245 nucleotides) under uncultured Anaeroplasma sp. Its description in RNAcentral is "partial 16S ribosomal RNA". It matches the Rfam family "Bacterial small subunit ribosomal RNA", at positions 524 to 769 of the family's 1533-position model. Lineage: Bacteria; Bacillati; Mycoplasmatota; Mollicutes; Anaeroplasmatales; Anaeroplasmataceae. The record is from RNAcentral.